RNAcentral lists this ribosomal RNA (419 nucleotides) under uncultured bacterium. RNAcentral describes it as "bacterial SSU rRNA". It matches the Rfam family "Bacterial small subunit ribosomal RNA", at positions 359 to 776 of the family's 1533-position model. The record is from RNAcentral.
GAAUAUUGGGCAAUGGGCGAGAGCCUGACCCAGCCAUGCCGCGUGCAGGAAGACGGCCUAUUGGGUUGUAAACUGCUUUUAUACGGGAAGAAAAGGCCCAUGCGUGGGACAUUGCCGGUCCCGUAUGAAUAAGCACCGGCUACCUCCGUGCCAGCAGCCGCGGUAAUACGGAGGGCGCAAGCGUUGUCCGGAUUUAUUGGGUUUAAAGGGUGCGUAGGCGGCCAAUUAAGUCAGUGGUGAAAUCCUUCCGCUUAACGGGAGAACUGCCAUUGAAACUGGUUGGCUUGAGUACGGUUGAAGUAGGCGGAAUUUAUGGUGUAGCGGUGAAAUGCAUAGAUACCAUAAAGAACACCGAUAGCGUAGGCAGCUUACUAAGCCGUAACUGACGCUGAGGCACGAAAGCAUGGGGAGCGAACAGG